This 74-nucleotide transfer RNA is filed under the name Clostridium perfringens. RNAcentral describes it as "tRNA-Ala(tgc)". It matches the Rfam family "tRNA". From Rfam's summary of the family: Transfer RNA (tRNA) molecules are approximately 80 nucleotides in length. Their secondary structure includes four short double-helical elements and three loops (D, anti-codon, and T loops). The record is from RNAcentral. Lineage: Bacteria; Bacillati; Bacillota; Clostridia; Eubacteriales; Clostridiaceae.
GGGGGUAUAGCUCAGUUGGGAGAGCACCUGCCUUGCACGCAGGGGGUCAGGAGUUCGAAUCUCCUUACUCCACC